GGACAGGACCGGGUGAUCGCCCCGCUUUGGCGGGGAGGAAAGUCCGAGCUCCAGAGGGCAGGCAGCCCCGGGAAUACCGGGGGAUCCGCCGGUAAUACGGCGGGUACGGAAAGCGCCACAGAAAAUAUACCGCCCCGCCUCUGGCGGGGUAAGGGUGAAAAGGCGAGGUAAGAGCUCACCGCCUGGCAAGACAACUUCCAGGGCAUGGCAAACCCCUGUCGGAGCAAGACCAAAUAGAUUCCGCCGCUCCGCUGAAAAAGCGGUAUAAGGACGGCCCGUUCGGAAGGCGGAAGGGUAGGUUGCUUGAUCCCGGCCGUAUGGCCGGGACCAGAGAGAUGAUCGCCAUCCCGUUAUGCGGGAUACAGAACUCGGCUUACAGGUCCUGUCCCUUU
Non-coding RNA from Candidatus Edwardsbacteria bacterium GWF2_54_11, 392 nucleotides. The record is from Rfam. Lineage: Bacteria; Candidatus Edwardsiibacteriota.